Zophobas morio is the source of this 430-nucleotide long non-coding RNA. RefSeq lists it as uncharacterized. The record is from RefSeq and is a predicted model, not a curated record. The transcript is spliced from 3 exons. Lineage: Eukaryota; Metazoa; Arthropoda; Insecta; Coleoptera; Tenebrionidae.
GGUCAAAUUUAUGGGCAAGAAUAGUUAAACUAGAAUCAGUCAUGAAUAAUUCUGCAACAGAACGUUACAGCAGGUAUCGGAUUUGCAGUCGUCACUUUGAACUAAAAAUGUAUCCACAUCAGCUGUUGUGCCACUGACUGAAAGCAACAGCAUAUCCAACUCUUCAUGUUUCAGGUGAAACAAUAAGGACAACCAAACAAACAGUUGUGACAAACAAACCAAGACUUUCCACCUCAAAAAUAUUGACAUUUAUGAAUCGUCACAUUUUACUUCUGGCAGUGUUUACUCUGAUUAAGCAACACCACUAAGGCCGUCCACUUCGAUAAGUUAUGAAAUUUGUUUAGAUUAUUUUCAGCAUUGUGAAGGAACAAACUGUGUUGAAGAUGGAGAACAUUUUUAAUAACAUUAGACAGCGGAACGAUGAGUGCUU